CCUACGGGGGGCUGCAGUAGGGAAUCUUCCACAAUGGGCGAAAGCCUGAUGGAGCAACGCCGCGUGGGUGAAGAAGGUCUUCGGAUCGUAAAACCCUGUUGUUAGAGAAGAAAGUGCGUGAGAGUAACUGUUCACGUUUCGACGGUAUCUAACCAGAAAGCCACGGCUAACUACGUGCCAGCAGCCGCGGUAAUACGUAGGUGGCAAGCGUUAUCCGGAUUUAUUGGGCGUAAAGGGAACGCAGGCGGUCUUUUAAGUCUGAUGUGAAAGCCUUCGGCUUAACCGGAGUAGUGCAUUGGAAACUGGGAGACUGGAGUGCAGAAGAGGAGAGUAGAACUCCAUGUGUAGCGGUGAAAUGCGUAGAUAUAUGGAAGAACACCAGUGGCGAAAGCGGCUCUCUGGUCUGUAACUGACGCUGAGGUUCGAAAGCGUGGGUAGCAAACAGGAUUAGAUACCCCAGUAGUC
This 465-nucleotide ribosomal RNA is filed under the name uncultured bacterium. RNAcentral describes it as "partial 16S ribosomal RNA". It matches the Rfam family "Bacterial small subunit ribosomal RNA", at positions 338 to 795 of the family's 1533-position model. The record is from RNAcentral.